AGACAAAUGUUUUAUGGGUAAUAUUAGAAACUAACUAUAGAAUUGAAAAGAAUUGAGUAACUAACCAUUGUCAGUUUUUCUAUGGAUAAAUAACUAUAUGACGGCAUAAGAAAGUACAAAACUAUCCUUGCAAGUUGAACCAAAAGUAAGUUUAUGCAGAUAUAUUUGAUGUUUUUUAGUAAAUCGCAUGAAACAUGUUAAAAUGACACGAUAUUUAUUAAAAAGUGACAUUUU
This 234-nucleotide small RNA is filed under the name Arabidopsis thaliana (thale cress). RNAcentral describes it as "ATSL230710". The record is from RNAcentral. Lineage: Eukaryota; Viridiplantae; Streptophyta; Magnoliopsida; Brassicales; Brassicaceae.